Molecule: ribosomal RNA, 467 nt
Filed under: uncultured archaeon
Lineage: Archaea
Description: bacterial SSU rRNA
Rfam family: Archaeal small subunit ribosomal RNA
Source: RNAcentral
UUCUGGUUGAUCCUGCCGGACCUGACUGCUAUCGGAUUGAUACUAAGCCAUGCGAGUCUUUGCAGUAAUGCAAGGCGGACUGCUCAGUAACACGUAGUCAACUUAACCUAUGGAUGGGUAUAACCUCGGGAAACUGAGAAUAAUUCCCAAUAGAUCAUUUAUCCUGGAAUGGUUAGUGAUUGAAAUGAUUCGUCGCCAUAGGAUAGGACUGCGGCCUAUCAGCUUGUUGGUGAGGUAAAGGCCCACCAAGGCUAUUACAGGUACGGGCUCUGAGAGGAGAAGCCCGGAGAUGGGUACUGAGACACGGACCCAGGCCCUAUGGGGCGCAGCAGGCGAGAAAACUUUGCAAUGUGCGAAAGCACGACAAGGUUAAUCCGAGUGAUUUCUGCUAAAGAAAUCUUUUGCCAGUUCUAAAAAUACUGGUGAAUAAGGGGUGGGCAAGUUCUGGUGCCAGCAGCCGCGGUAAU